This 581-nucleotide ribosomal RNA is filed under the name Pythium sp. RNAcentral describes it as "partial large subunit ribosomal RNA". It matches the Rfam family "Eukaryotic large subunit ribosomal RNA", at positions 451 to 835 of the family's 3401-position model. The record is from RNAcentral. Lineage: Eukaryota; Oomycota; Peronosporomycetes; Pythiales; Pythiaceae.
UUCAUUGGCGCGUGUGCGCGUGCUGUGUGUGGGAAGCGUCCUUUUGUGGUUGCUCUCUGCGCGGCUCUGCGUGUGCUUGCUGGUGCCCUGUGUCUUGGUGGGACGUCAGAGUCAGUUCGUAUGCUGCGGGAAAUGGCUGUGGAGGAGGUAGGUCGGGGUUCGCCUCGGCUGUUAUAUCUCUGCGGCUAGUGGUCGUGGUUGGGACUGAGGUGCCUUACAACGUGCUUUUUUGGGGUCUGUCGGGUUCUCGUUUCUCAGUCUGUCUGGAUAGCUUGCUAUGCUGGCGGUUUUUGUGGAGGCGAUUGAGUCUGGUAGUAACCUUUAGCCGUUCGGGACUUUGACGAAAUGGAGCGAUUCGGCCCGUCUUGAAACACGGACCAAGGAGUCUAACAUGUGUGCAAGUGUUAGGGUGUGGAAACCCGAGCGCGUAAUGAAAGUGAAGGGUAGCUUUUCGCUGCCUGAGGUAGGAAACCCUUGUCCUUUUUGGGUCCGGGGUGGCACUAUCGACCGAUCAUGAGCCUUCGUGGCGAAAGAUUUGAGUAGGAGCACAUAUGUUGGUACCCGAAAGAUGGUGAACUAUG